GAUGAACGCUGGCGGCGUGCCUAAUACAUGCAAGUCGAGCGAACGGACGAGAAGCUUGCUUCUCUGAUGUUAGCGGCGGACGGGUGAGUAACACGUGGAUAACCUACCUAUAAGACUGGGAUAACUUCGGGAAACCGGAGCUAAUACCGGAUGAUAUUUUGAACCGCAUGGUUCAAAAGUGAAAGACGGUCUUGCUGUCACUUAUAGAUGGAUCCGCGCUGCAUUAGCUAGUUGGUAAGGUAACGGCUUACCAAGGCAACGAUGCAUAGCCGACCUGAGAGGGUGAUCGGCCACACUGGAACUGAGACACGGUCCAGACUCCUACGGGAGGCAGCAGUAGGGAAUCUUCCGCAAUGGGCGAAAGCCUGACGGAGCAACGCCGCGUGAGUGAUGAAGGUCGUCGGAUCGUAAAACUCUGUUAUUAGGGAAGAACAUAUGUGUAAGUAACUGUGCACAUCUUGACGGUACCUAAUCAGAAAGCCACGGCUAACUACGUG
This 497-nucleotide ribosomal RNA is filed under the name uncultured bacterium. RNAcentral describes it as "partial 16S ribosomal RNA". It matches the Rfam family "Bacterial small subunit ribosomal RNA", at positions 28 to 507 of the family's 1533-position model. The record is from RNAcentral.